RNAcentral lists this transfer RNA (77 nucleotides) under Loxodonta africana (African savanna elephant). It matches the Rfam family "tRNA". Rfam says of the family: Transfer RNA (tRNA) molecules are approximately 80 nucleotides in length. Lineage: Eukaryota; Metazoa; Chordata; Mammalia; Proboscidea; Elephantidae. The record is from Rfam by way of RNAcentral.
CCCUGGGUGGCAUAAAUGGUUGGUUAAGUGCUUGGCUAUUAACCAAAAGGUUGGUGGUUCAAAUCCACCCAGAGGUC